GCUAAUACCGCAUAAGCGCAUAGCUUCGCAUGAAGCAGUGUGAAAAACUCCGGUGGUAUACGAUGGAUCCGCGUCUGAUUAGCUGGUUGGCGGGGUAAAGGCCCACCAAGGCGACGAUCAGUAGCCGGCCUGAGAGGGUGAACGGCCACAUUGGGACUGAGACACGGCCCAAACUCCUACGGGAGGCAGCAGUGGGGAAUAUUGCACAAUGGGGGAAACCCUGAUGCAGCGACGCCGCGUGAGUGAAGAAGUAUUUCGGUACGUAAAGCUCUAUCAGCAGGGAAGAAAAUGACGGUACCUGACUAAGAAGCCCCGGCUAACUACGUGCCAGCAGCCGCGGUAAUACGUAGGGGGCAAGCGUUAUCCGGAUUUACUGGGUGUAAAGGGAGCGUAGACGGCAGCGCAAGUCUGGAGUGAAAUCCCAUGGCUUAACCAUGGAACUGCUUUGGAAACUGUGCAGCUAGAGUGCAGGAGAGGUAAGCGGAAUUCCUAGUGUAGCGGUGAAAUGCGUAGAUAUUAGGAGGAACACCAGUGGCGAAGGCGGCUUACUGGACUGUAACUGACGUUGAGGCUCGAAAGCGUGGGGAGCAAACAGGAUUAGAUACCCUGGUAGUCCACGCUGUAAACGAUGAUUACUAGGUGU
This 643-nucleotide ribosomal RNA is filed under the name uncultured bacterium. RNAcentral's name for it is "bacterial SSU rRNA". It matches the Rfam family "Bacterial small subunit ribosomal RNA", at positions 162 to 823 of the family's 1533-position model. The record is from RNAcentral.